Molecule: ribosomal RNA, 292 nt
Filed under: uncultured bacterium
Lineage: Bacteria
Description: partial 16S ribosomal RNA
Rfam family: Bacterial small subunit ribosomal RNA
Source: RNAcentral
GUGCCAGCAGCCGCGGUAAGACAGAGGUGCCGAGCGUUAGGCGGAAUCACUGGGCUUAAAGCGUGUGUAGGCGGAUUUGUAAGUACCUUGUGAAAUCCCAUGGCUCAACCAUGGAACUGCUCGGUAUACUGCUUAUCUUGAGCCACUUAGGGGCAGUCGGAACAGAUGGUGGAGCGGUGAAAUGCGUAGAUAUCAUCUGGAACGCCAAAGGUGAAAACAGACUGCUGGGAGUGUGCUGACGCUGAGACACGAAAGCUAGGGGAGCGAACGGGAUUAGAUACCCUGGUAGUCC